UACGUAGGGACCGAGCGUUGUCCGGAAUCAUUGGGCGUAAAGAGCGUGUAGGCGGCCACUUAAGUCCUGCGUGAAAUCUUGCGGCUCAACCGCAAGCGGUCGUGGGAAACUGGGUGGCUAGAGUGCGGGAGAGGAGAGUGGAAUUCCUGGUGUAGCGGUGAAAUGCGCAGAUAUCGGGAGGAACACCGGUGGCGAAGGCGGUUCUCUGGGCCUUACCUGACACUGAGGAGCGAAAGCGUGGGGAGCGAACAGG
RNAcentral lists this ribosomal RNA (253 nucleotides) under uncultured bacterium. RNAcentral describes it as "partial 16S ribosomal RNA". It matches the Rfam family "Bacterial small subunit ribosomal RNA", at positions 524 to 776 of the family's 1533-position model. The record is from RNAcentral.